AACGCUGGCGGCAGGCCUAACACAUGCAAGUCGAACGGUAACAGGAAACAGCUUGCUGUUUCGCUGACGAGUGGCGGACGGGUGAGUAAUGUCUGGGAAACUGCCUGAUGGAGGGGGAUAACUACUGGAAACGGUAGCUAAUACCGCAUAACGUCGCAAGACCAAAGAGGGGGACCUUCGGGCCUCUUGCCAUCGGAUGUGCCCAGAUGGGAUUAGCUAGUAGGUGGGGUAACGGCUCACCUAGGCGACGAUCCCUAGCUGGUCUGAGAGGAUGACCAGCCACACUGGAACUGAGACACGGUCCAGACUCCUACGGGAGGCAGCAGUGGGGAAUAUUGCACAAUGGGCGCAAGCCUGAUGCAGCCAUGCCGCGUGUAUGAAGAAGGCCUUCGGGUUGUAAAGUACUUUCAGCGGGGAGGAAGGGAGUAAAGUUAAUACCUUUGCUCAUUGACGUUACCCGCAGAAGAAGCACCGGCUAACUCCGUGCCAGCAGCCGCGGUAAUACGGAGGGUGCAAGCGUUAAUCGGAAUUACUGGGCGUAAAGCGCACGCAGGCGGUUUGUUAAGUCAGAUGUGAAAUCCCCGGGCUCAACCUGGGAACUGCAUCUGAUACUGGCAAGCUUGAGUCUCGUAGAGGGGGGUAGAAUUCCAGGUGUAGCGGUGAAAUGCGUAGAGAUCUGGAGGAAUACCGGUGGCGAAGGCGGCCCCCUGGACGAAGACUGACGCUCAGGUGCGAAAGCGUGGGAAGCAAACAGGAUUAGAUACCCUGGUAGUCCACGCCGUAAACGAUGUCGACUUGGAGGUUGUGCCCUUGAGGCGUGGCUUCCGGAGCUAACGCGUUAAGUCGACCGCCUGGGGAGUACGGCCGCAAGGUUAAAACUCAAAUGAAUUGACGGGGGCCCGCACAAGCGGUGGAGCAUGUGGUUUAAUUCGAUGCAACGCGAAGAACCUUACCUGGUCUUGACAUCCACGGAAGUUUUCAGAGAUGAGAAUGUGCCUUCGGGAACCGUGAGACAGGUGCUGCAUGGCUGUCGUCAGCUCGUGUUGUGAAAUGUUGGGUUAAGUCCCGCAACGAGCGCAACCCUUAUCCUUUGUUGCCAGCGGUCCGGCCGGGAACUCAAAGGAGACUGCCAGUGAUAAACUGGAGGAAGGUGGGGAUGACGUCAAGUCAUCAUGGCCCUUACGACCAGGGCUACACACGUGCUACAAUGGCGCAUACAAAGAGAAGCGACCUCGCGAGAGCAAGCGGACCUCAUAAAGUGCGUCGUAGUCCGGAUUGGAGUCUGCAACUCGACUCCAUGAAGUCGGAAUCGCUAGUAAUCGUGGAUCAGAAUGCCACGGUGAAUACGUUCCCGGGCCUUGUACACACCGCCCGUCACACCAUGGGAGUGGGUUGCAAAAGAAGUAGAUAGCUUAACCUUCGGGAGGGCGCUUACCACUUUGUGAUUCAUAA
RNAcentral lists this ribosomal RNA (1452 nucleotides) under uncultured organism. RNAcentral's name for it is "16S ribosomal RNA". It matches the Rfam family "Bacterial small subunit ribosomal RNA". The record is from RNAcentral.